GAUGAACGCUGGCGGCGUGCCUAAUACAUGCAAGUCGAGCGAACAGACGAGGAGCUUGCUCCUCUGACGUUAGCGGCGGACGGGUGAGUAACACGUGGAUAACCUACCUAUAAGACUGGGAUAACUUCGGGAAACCGGAGCUAAUACCGGAUAAUAUAUUGAACCGCAUGGUUCAAUAGUGAAAGACGGUUUUGCUGUCACUUAUAGAUGGAUCCGCGCCGAAUUAGCUAGUUGGUAAGGUAACGGCUUACCAAGGCAACGAUGCGUAGCCGACCUGAGCGGGUGAUCGGCCAGACGGGAACUGAGACACGGUCCAGACUCCUACGGGAGGCAGCAGUAGAGAAUCUUCCGCAAUGGGCGAAAGCUUGACGGAGCAACGCCGCGUGAGUGAUGAAGGUCUUCGGAUCGUAAAACUCUGUUAUUAGGGAAGAACAAAUGUGUAAGUAACUAUGCACGUCUUGACGGUACCUAAUCAGAAAGCCACGGCUAACUACGUG
RNAcentral lists this ribosomal RNA (497 nucleotides) under uncultured bacterium. Its description in RNAcentral is "partial 16S ribosomal RNA". It matches the Rfam family "Bacterial small subunit ribosomal RNA", at positions 28 to 507 of the family's 1533-position model. The record is from RNAcentral.